Molecule: long non-coding RNA, 582 nt
Filed under: Pongo abelii (Sumatran orangutan)
Lineage: Eukaryota; Metazoa; Chordata; Mammalia; Primates; Hominidae
Description: lincRNA
Source: RNAcentral
AAUGAGUAGUCAUAAUAUGAGAAGCCCAAGCCACAUGGGGAGACCACAUGGAGAACUAACUUGCCUCUGUCAAACCCAUAUGAUCUCCCUGCCAAGUGCCAGCAUCGAAUGCCAACCAUGAUUGUUUUAAGUCCUCAUUGGGCAUUUUAAGUUCUGUUUGAAAGAGCUGCAUCACAAUUCUUAUAAAGAACUUGUUGAAUCAUAAGCUGUUUCCUUAAGCACCAAUUAUGUGGGGGACCUUGUGCCAGGCACUGGGCCACAUAAACGAGAAUCACACGAACCAGGAUCAAGAAGAGGCAGCCACUCUACAGUAAGGUAAAUAAGUCAUUUAGUCUCUGCACAUUUACCUCUGUAUUUAUCAAGUAUUUGUCGAAGGAAGGAAGGAAGUGAAUAAAGGAGGUGAGGAAGAAGAAGUUUCCUGGGUUUUUUUUAUGUGUGAGAUUGGAAGAAAUCUUGUGAGUAAUCACGAAUUUUAGGAAUCCCAGAAUGGAGCAAAGAAGAUUCUGAAAAAAAGAGAAAUACUUCUCUGAGUUGGAAAUUGGUUAAAUUUAGUGAUGUUUGAAGCCUCAGCCUACACUGGAA